This 1026-nucleotide ribosomal RNA is filed under the name Escherichia coli. RNAcentral's name for it is "partial 23S ribosomal RNA". It matches the Rfam family "Bacterial large subunit ribosomal RNA", at positions 1923 to 2925 of the family's 2925-position model. Lineage: Bacteria; Pseudomonadati; Pseudomonadota; Gammaproteobacteria; Enterobacterales; Enterobacteriaceae. The record is from RNAcentral.
GUAAACGGCGGCCGUAACUAUAACGGUCCUAAGGUAGCGAAAUUCCUUGUCGGGUAAGUUCCGACCUGCACGAAUGGCGUAAUGAUGGCCAGGCUGUCUCCACCCGAGACUCAGUGAAAUUGAACUCGCUGUGAAGAUGCAGUGUACCCGCGGCAAGACGGAAAGACCCCGUGAACCUUUACUAUAGCUUGACACUGAACAUUGAGCCUUGAUGUGUAGGAUAGGUGGGAGGCUUUGAAGUGUGGACGCCAGUCUGCAUGGAGCCGACCUUGAAAUACCACCCUUUAAUGUUUGAUGUUCUAACGUGGACCCGUGAUCCGGGUUGCGGACAGUGUCUGGUGGGUAGUUUGACUGGGGCGGUCUCCUCCUAAAGAGUAACGGAGGAGCACGAAGGUUGGCUAAUCCUGGUCGGACAUCAGGAGGUUAGUGCAAUGGCAUAAGCCAGCUUGACUGCGAGCGUGACGGCGCGAGCAGGUGCGAAAGCAGGUCAUAGUGAUCCGGUGGUUCUGAAUGGAAGGGCCAUCGCUCAACGGAUAAAAGGUACUCCGGGGAUAACAGGCUGAUACCGCCCAAGAGUUCAUAUCGACGGCGGUGUUUGGCACCUCGAUGUCGGCUCAUCACAUCCUGGGGCUGAAGUAGGUCCCAAGGGUAUGGCUGUUCGCCAUUUAAAGUGGUACGCGAGCUGGGUUUAGAACGUCGUGAGACAGUUCGGUCCCUAUCUGCCGUGGGCGCUGGAGAACUGAGGGGGGCUGCUCCUAGUACGAGAGGACCGGAGUGGACGCAUCACUGGUGUUCGGGUUGUCAUGCCAAUGGCACUGCCCGGUAGCUAAAUGCGGAAGAGAUAAGUGCUGAAAGCAUCUAAGCACGAAACUUGCCCCGAGAUGAGUUCUCCCUGACCCUUUAAGGGUCCUGAAGGAACGUUGAAGACGACGACGUUGAUAGGCCGGGUGUGUAAGCGCAGCGAUGCGUUGAGCUAACCGGUACUAAUGAACCGUGAGGCUUAACCUUACAACGCCGAAGGUGUUU